UUCGGAGCAUUUUACGAGGUGCUGCAUGGUUGUCGUCAGCUCGUGUCGUGAGAUGUUGGGUUAAGUCCCGUAACGAGCGCAACCCUUGCCUUUAGUUGCCAGCAGUUCGGCUGGGCACUCUAAAGGGACUGCCGGUGUUAAACCGGAGGAAGGUGGGGAUGACGUCAAGUCCUCAUGGCCUUUAUGACCAGGGCUACACACGUACUACAAUGGCCGAUACAAAGGGCAGCGACACUGCGAGGUGAAGCCAAUCCCGUAAAAAUCGGUCUCAGUCCGGAUUGGAGUCUGCAACUCGACUCCAUGAAGUUGGAAUCGCUAGUAAUCGUGGAUCAGCAUGCCACGGUGAAUACGUUCCCGGGCCUU
This 363-nucleotide ribosomal RNA is filed under the name uncultured Desulfobulbus sp. RNAcentral describes it as "bacterial SSU rRNA". It matches the Rfam family "Bacterial small subunit ribosomal RNA", at positions 1020 to 1382 of the family's 1533-position model. Lineage: Bacteria; Pseudomonadati; Thermodesulfobacteriota; Desulfobulbia; Desulfobulbales; Desulfobulbaceae. The record is from RNAcentral.